Long non-coding RNA from Dermochelys coriacea (leatherback sea turtle), 3905 nucleotides. RefSeq lists it as uncharacterized. The record is from RefSeq and is a predicted model, not a curated record. NCBI's taxonomy places the organism in Eukaryota, Metazoa, Chordata, Testudines, Dermochelyidae. The transcript has 2 exons.
CGCCUCUAGGAUUACCAGGACCUCAGGCUGUAUGGGCUUUGGACAGAAUUUAAAACAGCUAAAUAGAAGAAAGAAAAAUACAAAAAUAGCUGAGCUUUCUGCAUGAUAUUUUGCUUUGGACCAUCCUUAAGUGAAUGGCUGUAUAAUACACCUCUAGAGAUAUACAGUGCCAGAUUAAAAGUGUGUUUCUCUUUCACAAAGAGAAUAUACAGCUAGAUUUCAGCCAAGAGUUUAAAAACAGGAAUGAAAAAUUAGGCUUCUAAAUUAGCAAUUAAAAACCUACCUGAAUUCCAAAAGUGCUGAAUGCCCAGGAGCUUGCAUACAAGUAAAUUGGAGAUGCUGGGUGCACAGGACACAAAUAAAGACCAUGCCUGUCCUGCCCUGAUAAGUUUACAGUCUAUGGUUAUGUCUUCAUUGCAGCAUUAACUCAUAUGGUCAGCACCCAGGUUUGCCUAAGCAGGGUGCAAGCAACCACACUGAAAAGUUGUAAUGCCACUUGGGUUGCUAGGAUUUCUGAGGGUUCAUCCCAGAGUUCUUUGUGCUGCAAUAAGAUGCUCUAUGAGUCAUUCCCACUGAAUUGUGGAAGAAUGUAUCUGUCCUAAUCCCCACUGGGGGAAUUGUGGGAAGGCAUUGGAGGAAUAACAGCACUCAAGUGAUUUUACCUAUGUCCUUGCUGCAAAGUGGGUGGUUUAUCAGCCUGAAUGAAAGCAGCACGGUGAUUCCAACCCAUACAGUCAGCAGGGCCUGCUAGCUGGGGUUAAAAGUGCCACCAAAUUUGGGUGAAAGGAUUUUGUGUAUGGAUGGGAGCAGGGCUGGUGCAUUAUCUGAUUAAGUGCUAACUCUGCAAUGAAGACAUACCCCUAAGGGCUAGCUAGAUUGUGCAGUUCAGGCAUAGCUAUCUGUUAGGAGUGGUGCAGAACUGGAUGAACUCAAUGAGGCUGAAUUCCUCCUUACCAGUACAAAAUCUACUGCUCCACUUUAAGGACUUCAGGCAACAUACUCUGCCCUCCUGCAUUUGCAGAGAGGCAAAGCCAUUGGUUAUGCCUAAUGCCCCAAUAGAUGUGGAUGGUAGCAAUCUCUCUGGACUGCAAUUAUGCCUGUCUCUUAUAUGUGCCACACAAAGGAGGGGGAAGCUCUUUAUUUCUGGUCCUCUCUCCCCGUACCCUGUGCAUCUGCAUAAGCGCAAGGCAUAAUCUAGCCCCCUAAAUGAGUUUACAAGCUCCUAUGAUUGUCUCUUGUCAUUAGUUUAGAUGCUUUAGAAAAGGGUAGGGAGAAAAACAUGCUCUUAUUUUGAGCGCCUCUGUCACAAGCACAGAUAGUAAAACCGAAAUAUUGAUACAAAUAAGAUUAGUCCUAGCUCCGGAAACAAAGGUAGUGCCUUUGGAACAAUUUACCAAUGGUCAUGAUGGAUUUUCCAUCACUGAGAACAAUUUUUAAAUCAAGAUUGGACUUUUUUCUAAAAAGUACGGUCUAGGAAUUUUUUUGGGGAAGUUCUAUGGCCUAUGGUAUACAAUAGGUCAUAAUGUGAUCACAAUAGUCCCUUCUGGCCUUAAAAUCAGUGAAUGUAUGAAUAUUUUGCAAUGAAGUAGAGAUGUAUCUUUUAUUAGCCAAUAUAUGCAGCCAUUUAAAAAAAAAUGUCAGUUCAAAGAUUCUUUCCUUUUUUUAAAGGAAAGGACAGCUGUAAUUCAGUGGACUGAUGACAGGGUAUAGGAGUCAGAAGUUCUAGGUUAUUCUCCUUCCCCUUCCUCUGACUUACUCUGUGUUCAUGGGAAGACCAUUUAAAUUCCCUGCCUCCAUUUCUUCAUGUUAUCCUCGUGACACUCUAUACCUCAGGGCAGUGCCCUGGAACCCCUCUAUCCACACCGUCAUAUGGCUAUGACAUAUUUCAUAUAGAGCAUGUCAGGGGGUUGACAUGUGAAAGGUCAUGAUUUCCAGAAGCCCAUUGUUCUGUCUGGGUAUGUGUAUCAUUGGUGGGGUGUGUGUGGGGGUGGGUGGGUGGGGGGUGGUUUGCUGUAUGGUUGUUACUGAAAUAUGCUGUAAGUUUGUUAGUGAUAUACAAAGGUGGCAAACCACUAUCAGGAGGGUGCUCAACGACCAUUAAUCAGCAGGGAAGUUGUAAUCAAGGGAUCUACAAUUCAAUGAGGGCUGCUCAAGCACCACACAAUGGGGACGGCUCAGAUCUAUGACUCAGUUGCACAAGACCACCAGUGGGAUUGCGCAACCCUGUGACUCAGCAAAGCCCGCCAGGACAUUUCUGGGCAAGUGUUUUCUAGGCACAUGGACUAAGGAUAUAAAAUAGAAGACUGUGGUAUCAUGUUUUUGCCUUUCUCUUCCCCCACCUACGCUGGAAGCAACAGGAAUGCCGAGAAAAUGAAGGUCAUCUGAGGAGACUGGUCCAGGUUUAAGGCGAAGCCUGUGCGUUAAGAGCUGUAACAUCCAGUGGGCUGCCCCUGUAAACUUUGCAUCUGCCAUCUCUGCCUGAAAGCAUGAAUCCUGCACUACUCACCAGUCAUGUGAUAAGUGUUAUGAACACAACACAGCUGAUUCUGCAGUAUUUCAUGAGCUGUGAAUCUGAAAAGGAAUCCAUGCUGCCUGCCCUGCUUUGUGCCAUGGAAAGAAAAUUCAAGACUGAUGUUGGCAUUCACAGAGCAGCUGCACACAGUGAACCGUCGCUAUUGGGCUUGAGAAACUAGCACUGAGUGAUGGGAUCAGAUUGUGAUGCAGGUACGGGAUCAUGAGCAGUGGCUGCAGAACUUUCAUAUGCACGAAGCCACCUUCCUUGAACUCUGAAUGGAGCUCGACCCUGCCCUGUGGCAUAAGGACACCAAAAUGAGAGCUGCCCUAAUGGUGGAAAAGCGAGUGGCAAUUGCUGUGUGGAAUCUGGCAGCUCCAGACUGCUACCGGUCAGUCACGAAUCAGUUUGGACUUGGGAAGUCCAUUGUGGGGGUGCAGUGAUGCAAGUGUGUAGGGCCAUUAAUCAAUCUCCUGCUAUGAAGGACUGUGACUCUGGACAAUUUGUGGGAAAUAGUGGAUGGCUCUGCGGCAAUGGAAUUUCCUUACUGCGGCAGGGCGAUAGAUGGCAUACAUAUCCCAAUUUUGGCCCCAGACAAUCUUGCAAUGGAAUACAUCAAUAGAAGGGGUUGCUUCUCUAUGGUAUUGCAGGUGCUGGUGGAUCUCCAAGGUUGUUUCACUGACAUCAAUGCACGGUGGUUAGGGAAGGUGCAUGGUGCAUAUAUCUUCAGGAACACUGGCUUGUAUAGAAAGCUGCAUGCAGGGACUGUGUUUGAAGACCAGAAGAUUUCAACAGGUGAUGUGGAAAUGCCCAUAGUGAUUCUGGGAGACCCAGCCUACCCCUUACUCCCGUGGCUCAUGAAGCCUUACACUAGAAACCUUGACAGCAGCAAGGAGCACUUCAACAACUGGCUCAACAGAUGCAGAAUGACAGUUGAAUGUGCAUUUGGUAGAUUACAUUGUAGCUGGCACUGCCUUUCUGGCAGGUUAGACCUUAAUGAGGAAAAUAUUCCCAUGGUCAUAGCAGCCUGCUGUGCUCUGCAUAACAUUUUUGAAACCAAGGGGGAAACAUUUCCCAAGAGGUGGAGGGUUGAGGUGGAUCACCUGGUGAGUGAUUUUGAGCAACCAGACACCAGGGUUAUUAGAGGGGCUCAACAGGGGGGUAUUUGAAUCAGGGAGGCUUUUAAGCAGCAUUUUGACAAUGAGCCCUAUUAAUUUGUCUGUCUGUAAUUGAUUCAGCCAGACAUUGUUUACCUACCACAUUGAACGACCCCUAUAAUGAUUCCUGCCUGAGCGUUAAUUAUAGUCUGCAAAUGUGCCAGUUGCCGCCGUGUAUGAAUUUCUAUUGCAACCACCCUGUGUAGGUCACAAAUAAAGAACCACUGUCUUUGUAA